AUUGAACGCUGGCGGCAUGCCUUACACAUGCAAGUCGAACGGUAACAGGUCUUCGGAUGCUGACGAGUGGCGAACGGGUGAGUAAUACAUCGGAACGUGCCUAGUAGUGGGGGAUAACUACUCGAAAGAGUGGCUAAUACCGCAUGAGAUCUACGGAUGAAAGCAGGGGAUCGCAAGACCUUGUGCUACGAGAGCGGCCGAUGGCGGAUUAGGUAGUUGGUGGGAUAAAAGCUUACCAAGCCGACGAUCUGUAGCUGGUCUGAGAGGACGAUCAGCCACACUGGGACUGAGACACGGCCCAGACUCCUACGGGAGGCAGCAGUGGGGAAUUUUGGACAAUGGGCGCAAGCCUGAUCCAGCCAUGCCGCGUGCGGGAAGAAGGCCUUCGGGUUGUAAACCGCUUUUGUCGGGGAAGAAAUGCUCCGGGAUAAUACCCUGGGGAGAUGACGGUACCCGAAGAAUAAGCACCGGCUAACUACGUGCCAGCCGCCGCCGUAA
Molecule: ribosomal RNA, 498 nt
Filed under: uncultured bacterium
Lineage: Bacteria
Description: partial 16S ribosomal RNA
Rfam family: Bacterial small subunit ribosomal RNA
Source: RNAcentral